RNAcentral lists this ribosomal RNA (392 nucleotides) under uncultured bacterium. Its description in RNAcentral is "partial 16S ribosomal RNA". It matches the Rfam family "Bacterial small subunit ribosomal RNA", at positions 523 to 918 of the family's 1533-position model. The record is from RNAcentral.
AUACGUAGGUGGCAAGCGUUAUCCGGAAUUAUUGGGCGUAAAGAGUGAGCAGGCGACAGCAAGGGUCUGUGGUGAAAGCCUGAAGCUUAACUUCAGUAAGCCAUAGAAACCAGGCAGCUAGAGUGCAGGAGAGGAUCGUGGAAUUCCAUGUGUAGCGGUGAAAUGCGUAGAUAUAUGGAGGAACACCAGUGGCGAAGGCGACGAUCUGGCCUGCAACUGACGCUCAGUCCCGAAAGCGUGGGGAGCAAAUAGGAUUAGAUACCCUAGUAGUCCACGCCGUAAACGAUGAGUACUAAGUGUUGGAUGUCAAAGUUCAGUGCUGCAGUUAACGCAAUAAGUACUCCGCCUGAGUAGUACGUUCGCAAGAAUGAAACUCAAAUGAAUUGGCGGGG